Molecule: unclassified non-coding RNA, 345 nt
Filed under: soil metagenome
Description: partial contains 5.8S ribosomal RNA, internal transcribed spacer 2, and large subunit ribosomal RNA
Rfam family: 5.8S ribosomal RNA (bases 1-121)
Source: RNAcentral
GAUGAAGAACGUAGCGAAAUGCGAUAAGUAAUGCGAAUUGCAGAAUUUCCGUGAGUCAUCGAAUCUUUGAACGCACAUUGCGCCCACUGGUAUUCCGGUGGGCACGCCUGUUCGAGCGUCAUUAUCCUCCCUCAAACCCCGGGUUUGGUGUUGGACCCAAGUUGUGUGAACAACUGGUCUCAAAGACAAUGACGGCGUCCGUGGGACCCUCGGUGCAACGAGCUUUUAGGAGCACGCAUCGAGUUGCAAGGACCUUCCGGGCCGGUCUCCUUUACCAUUUUACAAGGUUGACCUCGGAUCAGGUAGGAAUACCCGCUGAACUUAAGCAUAUCAAUAAGCGGAGGA